RNAcentral lists this ribosomal RNA (358 nucleotides) under Staphylococcus aureus. RNAcentral's name for it is "partial 23S ribosomal RNA". It matches the Rfam family "Bacterial large subunit ribosomal RNA", at positions 2565 to 2925 of the family's 2925-position model. The record is from RNAcentral. Lineage: Bacteria; Bacillati; Bacillota; Bacilli; Caryophanales; Staphylococcaceae.
CCAAGGGUUGGGCUGUUCGCCCAUUAAAGCGGUACGCGAGCUGGGUUCAGAACGUCGUGAGACAGUUCGGUCCCUAUCCGUCGUGGGCGUAGGAAAUUUGAGAGGAGCUGUCCUUAGUACGAGAGGAUCGGGAUGGACAUACCUCUGGUGUACCAGUUGUCGUGCCAACGGCAUAGCUGGGUAGCUAUGUGUGGACGGGAUAAGUGCUGAAAGCAUCUAAGCAUGAAGCCCCCCUCAAGAUGAGAUUUCCCAACUUCGGUUAUAAGAUCCCUCAAAGAUGAUGAGGUUAAUAGGUUCGAGGUGGAAGCAUGGUGACAUGUGGAGCUGACGAAUACUAAUCGAUCGAAGACUUAAUCAA